This 253-nucleotide ribosomal RNA is filed under the name uncultured bacterium. RNAcentral describes it as "partial 16S ribosomal RNA". It matches the Rfam family "Bacterial small subunit ribosomal RNA", at positions 524 to 776 of the family's 1533-position model. The record is from RNAcentral.
UACAGAGGUCUCAAGCGUUGUUCGGACUCAUUGGGCGUAAAGGGUGCGUAGGUGGCGCCGUAAGUCAGGUGUGAAAUUUCGGAGCUUAACUCCGAAACUGCAUUCGAUACUGCGGUGCUUGAGGACUGGAGAGGAGACUGGAAUUCAUGGUGUAGCAGUGAAAUGCGUAGAGAUCAUGAGGAAGACCAGUGGCGAAGGCGGGUCUCUGGACAGUUCCUGACACUGAGGCACGAAGGCCAGGGGAGCAAACGGG